RNAcentral lists this long non-coding RNA (6036 nucleotides) under Sus scrofa (pig). RNAcentral's name for it is "lncRNA (ENSSSCG00000063211.1)". The record is from RNAcentral. Lineage: Eukaryota; Metazoa; Chordata; Mammalia; Artiodactyla; Suidae.
GAACAAGAAAUGAAUGCAAACCAUCUUACACCCAAAGCUGGCAUGGAGUAGCACUUGUGGAAAUGAUACUGCCAUAGAUUAAUAAUAAAGUCCCUGGAAAGGAGUUCCCACCCUGGUGCAGUGGGUUAAGAACCCAACUGCAGCAACUCGGGUCACUGUGAAGGCAAGGUGUUCGAUUCCCAAUCCGGGCGCUGUGGGUUGAGGAUCCAUUGUUACUGUGGUAUAGGUUGCAGCUGCAGCUUGGAUUCAAUCCCUGGCCUGGGAACUUCUGCAUGCUGCAGGUGUGGCCAAAACAAACAAACAAACAAACAAACAAACAAACAAACAAAAAACCCAGUGAGUUCCUGUAAUGGCUUUGGGAUAACAAACCAAAUUAUCCAGAAGGGUAUAGGUUUGAUCCCUGGACUCAGUGGGUUAAGGAUUUGGUGUUGCCUUGAGCUGAGGUGUAGGUGGCAUAUUCGGCUCAGAUCUGGUAUUGCUAUGACUGUGGUGUAGGCUGGCAGCUGCAGCUCCAAUUCGACCCCUAGCCUGGGAACUUCCAUAUGCUACAGGGGCAGCCCAAAAAGACAAAAAUAAAAUAAAAUCCCUGGAAAGCACUGAGUUCUGUGCCAGAUAUAGGCUUUUUACUUUUCCUAACUGGCCCAGUACAGAGCAAUUCUCUAAUUACAUUACAAGGUAAAGGGGCCUGGGCAGGGCAUUUCUUUCCAUUUCAAAGGAAAUUCUAGAUAGAUAUUCCUUAGGAGAAAGAAAUAAAUGAGGACAGGACCCUGAACAAAAUUACUACAUUCACACGAUUAUUUUCAUUCUUCUAGAUGAUCAGGUUUUUCUUGACUCAAAGUGUUAAAAGAUGAAUUGAAGCAUUUUUAUAAUCUUUUUGACUUUUUAAAGUUGGUUUUAUUUUUAUUUUUUAAAUGAUUUCAUUUUUUCCACUAUCGUUGGUUUACAGUGUUCUGUCAAUUUUCUACUGUACAGCAAAGUGACCCAGUCACACACGCAUAUAUAUACACACACAUUCUUUUUCUCAUAUUAUCCUCCAUCAUGCUCCAUCACAUGUGAGUAGAUAUAGUUCCCAGUGCUAUAACAGCAGGAUCUCAUUGCUUAGCCAUUCCAAAUGCAAUAGUUUGCAUCUAUUAAUCCCGAUUCCCACUCCAUUCCACUCACUCCCCAGCAUCUUUAUAAAUUUUUAGCAUUUAUUUGAGCAAAAAUUAAUUGGAAUUGUGCAGCACAACACUGGAGAUGGUUAGGCGCUCUCUGCCCCCCAGGGGCCAGGAGAAAGGCUUACAGAGAGAAAGUCUGGAAGGAAAUUAUUUGAUUGUCUACACCUUAAAGCCUGGUUGAGUGUUUGUAAUUGGUUCUGUAAGUUUCUAUUUCAAAUCUAGGCAUUUAUAGCCUUAGAUUUUGGUUGGCUUACGUAGACCACUAUAGCAUUAGAGCACCUCAGUCCAAUGGCCUCCUUGUUUAAUUUAGCAGAGAAAAAUUUUACUUCCAAGGUGUUCCUAUUGGUGUUUUUAAAUUUGAAAGGUACCAGUCUUCAGGAAAGAAUCACUUUUACACUAAUCGUGGUCUAGAUCACCUGUGGAAACUACUAGGUGUGUCUUUGAAGAGGUUUCUUAGUUAAACUGAUCUUUGUUGAAGUUGUUCACAAAUUGGAAAUGCCUCUGCAAGUACUUCAAAGAGCAGUUGUAAUACAUAAAUAAAAUAAUUUAAGUAAAACCAUUUGGCAAAUAAUCUAGGUAAAGGAGAUGCCCCAGAAAUGCUAGUUCCAUUCCAUUUGAUAAUGAACAUGGCAAAAUCUUGGCUAACUAGAAUCUAGCUUCCCAGAAAGCUCCAUUAACUACAUCCUCCAUCUUCAUUUCAUAGAAAAGCUUAUAUAUGGUAUAAAUAUUAGUUUAUAAUGUUCAAGCCCAAUUUUAUACAUUCUAAGCUUAUGUAAUUACCAAAAGAAAGAAAGAAAGAGAAUUCUUGUUGACCAUGGAAUCUUUAGCACUUAGAACUCUCUGGCACAUAGUAGAUGCUCAAUAAAUAUUUGUUAAAUGAAUAAGGACCCAAAACACUUCAAAGAUACUAUUUUUUAGGAGUUCAGAGAUGCCAUAAGUCAGCAAAACAGAAAAACUCAUUUUACAGAGGUUUUCAAUGAAGUGUUGCAAGUAAAACAAUUACUGGAGAUUUCUCUGAGUUUCUCUGAAAUGCUUAAUUUAAUAGGGCAACUCAUCGGUAUUCAAAAAGUCAUCAGUGUUUCUCAUUUAAUUACUUCGUGCAAAACAGAGCAAGAUAUAUAGUCCCUUUUCUCAAGGAACUCAGAGUCUAAUGGGGAGGUAGAGCAUGGGGAGGAACAAUUGAAAUGUCAGGUGUGAUUGAGAGACAGCAACGUGAGAGAAUGAAUGAAUAUGAACCAAAGACGCAGAGGUAAUGCAGUAGAAUUCAUUCUUAAGGAGAGGCAGAGGGUGUUCUUUGAAGGGGAGAUUUUAUUGCAUUUGAGUUGAACCAUAAAAUGGUAACUUUUGACAAGUGAUAGUGACUAAAAUGAUAAAGAAGGAAAAAAGGGGGAGUUCUUGGCUCAGUGGUAGCUAACCCGACUGGUAUCCAUAAGGAUGAGGGUUCUAUCCCUGGCCUCGCUCAAUGCAUUAAGGAUCUGGCGUUGCUGUGAGCUGUGGUGUAAGUCGCAGACAAGGCUUGGAUCCUGAUUGCUGUGGCUGUGGUGUAGGCCCGCAGCUGCAACUCCAAUUAGACCUCUCACCUGGAAACUUCCAUAUGCUGCAGGUGCCCUCUCCCCCCAAAAAAAGACAAGAAGGGAGAGAAAGUUUUCCUAGGGGUUUUGAAGAGCUAGAUCCCAGAGGAGUGUGUGAGAAAAUAGGACAGGUGAUACUUUUUGCUAAGAUUAGUGUAGACUUUACAUUUGAAUGCCCUUCACUUGGGAAAUACAAAGAGUGAAACUCCUUACACUUUGCUUCUUGAGUUGACUCUGCUCUGAGGCUGAACUGAAAGGGACUAGAUUUUAUCAGGGCAAAACAAGAAAGAGGCAAUAAAAAUAGUUCUUAUCUGGGAAUAGUGCCCCCAUAUUUGUAGCCUAAACCAAAGGCUGUUGGUAGAAGAAUUUCUGGCCAGACACAGAUGUCAUCUGACUCCUCUCAAGAGUUUAGAACAUGGCAAACCAAAGCCAGUCUUUGAGAUAAGCUAUUUAACUGCAAAGAAAAGGUUCACUCUAUUUUGGAUGUUAAAUCUUUCUAAAUUAGAUUAUGUAUUUCCUUACUUGAUUAAACAUAGGACUCUAAGAAUAAUUUAGUUGAUCUUAAUGAUGCAGAAUCAUCAUUAUGGACAUUAAUUAUUAUGCCAGAUCACAUAGAUUUUUAAAAAUUAUUAUUUUGCUUUUUAGGGCCACACCUGUGGCAUAUGGAGGUUCCCAGGUUAGGGGUACAGUUGGAGCUACACUGAUGGCCUACACUGCAGCCACAGCAAUGCCAGAUCUGAGCUGCGGCUGCGAUCUACACCCUAGCUCACAGCAACACCAGAUCCGUGACCCACUGAGCAAGGCCAAGGAGCGAAUCCACAUCCUCAUGGCUCCUAAUCCAGUUUGUUAACCGCUGAGCCACUAUAGGAACUCCUAAAAAUUAUUAUUAGUUGUUCUUUUAUUGCCUUUCUGCUCCCAGCUCCUCAUAUAAGCAGUUAGAAAGCUCGUUUCUAAUCUUCCAAUGGUCAUUGUUGGGCUUUUCUCCAAAGGAAAGCAAAGGGUCUUUAUUGUCAUGGUUUGUAUUUCAGAGGCUCUAAUGGAGGUAAAAGUUGUUUCUGUUAUGGGUAAUUAAUAAUGGAAAAAUUAAUUGGUGCUCUUCUCUAAGACGGGCUUUGGCCUUAGCCCUUUCCCUAGUUACUAGCUAGCUUUUUGGCAUCACUUAACUUUCCUCUAAUUUCCACAUUGAAAAAAGAGAGAAGGGAGUCCCAAUUGUGGCUCAGCAGGCUGCAAACAUGGCUAGUAUCCAUGAGGAUGCGGGUUCAGUCCUGGCCUCAUUCAGUGGGUUAAGGAUCUGGUGCCUCCUCAAGCUGUGGCAUAGGUUGCAGACAUGGCUUGGAUCCUGUGUUGCUGUGGAGGUUGUGUACGCCAGCAGCUGUGGAUCUGAUUAGACCCCUAGCCUGGGAACUUCCAUAUGCUGUGGGUCCAGCCCUAAAACGUGGAAAAACAAUUGUUUUGAAAAUGUUUUCUCUAAAGUCCCAGAAUGAUAGAUGCAUUAUGGAUGCAGGAGUUGGACUGUAUUUACAAUUGCUCACUUGCAAGCUUGGCACGUUACUUGGGCAAGUUGUUUAAGGUCUAUGCCUCCUUCUGUUUCUUUUCCAUUUUGGUGGAUAAUAAUAUUGGUCUCACUGUGGAGUGUGGUGCCUGGAACCCAGGGAAGAAUGCUUGUUAGUGCCUCUUCCCUUUCUUCAAUUGCAUUCUUUUCAGCAAAAUCAAGUGCCUAAGAGGUCAUACAAUUCCCCAGGCUAUUUGAAAGUCUUCAAGUGUUAUUAGCCCAAUAGGCCACUGGAUGUCACACUUGAUCUAAGCUACCACAUACACCUUGCCCAGUGCACUUUGGCUUGGACAGUCUUCGGCUUUUAGAGCCGAAGUGGAUGUUAAUGAUCUUUGACUCAGAGUUAGAGCCAGAGUCUGAAAACUGCAGGCCACAGCCAAGUUUGUUUGGAGCACGUUUUCUUUUGUUUCAUUUUAAUGGAAUUUGAAUGCAUUCAGGCAGAGGGUGGAGUGUGUGCCCCUCUAGAGUCCUGCUUGGGCCCUUCACUCAGCAGGAUGCCCACCUGGCACUCAGGACAAUGGAGUGGAGAACGCCUGGUCUCCUUUUAUAGAGGCAACUGACCACCCAGACACCUUACCUGUUUGACCAAGGACACAGGUGAAGUUGGCAGCAAAUCUGGGUCUAGAACUUGGGUCACUUGACUCCCUGCUUGGUCCCUGUCAUUGAGCCAAGUAUGCUAGAGACACAUCAAGAUAAUGGCCCUUUAGGAAAUUUCUACUUUACAGAAACAGAUGCGAAGAACACUUAUCUGGCUCCAACUCUCUCCUAAACUCUGUUCAAUUGCAAGCCUUGAAUAUUUUGACUUCCACAACAGCCCUAGAGUCAGAGUUUUAACUCAUGAAUGUUUUAUCUUGAGAAUUUGCUUGGGGGGUGGUGGUUAUUGAGACUGUGGUCGGACACUGGAACAUGUUUCCCAAAGCACUUAGCAGAGACACAUUAGGCUAACAAUAAAGUCCACAACCUCUAACAGGAAAUCGGGAAGACAAGCCAAGGGUCAUGAUUUAUCCCAGCUCUUAUCAGAAAAAGCAAGCCAAGAGAGCUCACCCUGAGUACUAAUAAGUUAUAAUGUAACCACACACACACACACAAACAUGCACACACGUGGGAGUUUAAAUUUUUGUAACUACCAGAUGGAGGAUAUAAACUAAUAUUGCUCACAUGCUAUUCACCACCUUUGGAAAAACCAGAUCAGAGAGGGUAAUUAUCUCUCAAAUUUAGAUUUCCCUGGUUGUGUUCUCACUGAAACAGCAGAAGAUUACUUCUGGGUUGAUAUCAGCAGGAUUGCAGGCCUGCAGGAGAUACCAAGAUAAGAAUAAAUCAGGUUUCCCUUGAAUAUUUUUUUUACUGUCUCGGGCACUUGUUCUGAGAUCCUUCGCAGUUUGGAGCCGGUGUGGUCCCGUCCUGGGACCGAAAGGGUGAGCAUGCCUAUCUUUUCAGUUGGUAAGGAUCUUGAAGGUUUUUAAGGAAGCUCACUGGCCAAGUCUACUUUGAAAAACCUGGAUGUUAGAGAUCAAAAAUAAUCGCAUAGGAGUUCCCAUUGCAGCUCAGAGGAAACGAAUCUGACUAGCAUCCAUGAGGACACAGGUUCGAUCCCUGGCCUCUCUCAGUGGGUUAAGAAUCUGAUGUUGCCAUGAGCUGUGGUGUAGGUCACAGAUGCAGCUCGGAUUCAGUGUUGCUGUGGCUGUGGUAUAGGCCAGCGGCUAAAGCUCUGAUUCAACCCCUAGCCCGAGAACCUCCAUAUGACGCAGGUGAGGCC